CGACUCUCGCCUCCCGAAAUUAUAAACGGAGAUCGAUACGGCCAGAUCACGUCCAAGGUACACAAAAACAAAAGGUGAUGUAAUGCCUGUGAAAAUGACGAAGCCCGCCCGAACACCGGACGUCUGCGUCUACGACGUCGCGACGUCGCACAGAUGUACGUCAGGACGAACGGACGGAUCGUUCAAAACCGCGGGACAGCUAUGUGUUUAUCAAGGUACAAUCUAAAGGAUAGAAGAAGUUCUGCAUUGCGUCUCUAAAUAUACAAGCUGUCCGAUAAGUUUUGAUGAAAAGCGUUCGAGGCAGAGUGGACUGAACAAGGAAAUCCAUCUUCUUGCAGAGUUUUUUCUUCACGUUGUGAGGUUUGGGAUCGAGG
This is a long non-coding RNA of Mycetomoellerius zeteki, 374 nucleotides long. RefSeq lists it as uncharacterized. The transcript is spliced from 3 exons. Lineage: Eukaryota; Metazoa; Arthropoda; Insecta; Hymenoptera; Formicidae. The record is from RefSeq and is a predicted model, not a curated record.